This is a long non-coding RNA of Oenanthe melanoleuca, 5365 nucleotides long. RefSeq lists it as uncharacterized. The transcript is spliced from 8 exons. Lineage: Eukaryota; Metazoa; Chordata; Aves; Passeriformes; Muscicapidae. The record is from RefSeq and is a predicted model, not a curated record.
GUAAAGUCUGAGAGCCUCUUGGUCAAUUCCAAAACUCCCACCUCUUUCCACAGUGUUAGAAACAGAUCCUUAUUUAAAUGCUUUUAGCUUUUAUCAUCUUUGAUAAAUCAUUGAGCACUUAUCAUCUCUGUCUCCAAGGCUGCCCCUUCCUGGUGUCCUGUUGCUUUCCAUACAUUGGGUUCUGCUGUUGUCACAAAGGAUCUGGGAACAGAUAUGUAACUACCAAGUGUAAGAUGGAUAAGUGCAGAAAAAGGACUGUUCAAGCCUGGAAACAAAAGAGUUAAAAUAUUUUCUCUUACCCACUUUCCAAAGAUGACAGCCUUUCUAUAUAAAGUCUUCUGUCAUUAAUCCAAUAAAGCUCUACUUUGUUCAUCAUUUACUACACUCUUGAUUAAGCCAUUCUAAUAUUUGUGCAGGGUAAGUACAUAAAUCAUUGUUGCUCUUCUGUACAUUUCUUUACUUAUCUGGUUCUUUCAAGGUCAAUAACCUACCUUACAACUUUCAUCUGGUUUAAAUAUUCAGCUACUUCCUUUUACACCUCUCUUCCUUGCUCGUGUCCAUUUGGAUACCUGCAGCUGUAUCUUCUCAAGUAGCUGUUGAUCAUGUCUCCUUGCUAAAGGUUGCUGACUUCAUCAGCAGUAAUGAUACAAACUACAUCUGUUAGGGUUCACUCACACCUCUCUUUUAGGAGAAAAUACAUUCUGACUUUAUUGCUAUUGGCCAUUUCUUCUGCCUAGGAAACUCAGUGAGAAAAAUUAUAUGCUGUAAAAUAUCCUCACCCUGACACGUGCAGGCUUUCAGUGCCCAGGUCAUGCAGAGAAGCCAAUCAAUCCCUACUGACCUCCAGAAGCCUGAAAUAUAUCUGAGUAAGGCCCUAGUCCAGCAAUGCACUUAAGGAUAUGCUUAUGUAAACAUAGGAUCCAUCCCAUUUUCAGUGCAAUUUGGUGAGAAGUGCAUUUCAGAGCAGGGCAUCUCCAGGGAUGCUCCUUUUUGCAAGGGCUGUGCAGGGUGAGACUGUGCCAGCUGCCACUCCAAGGUAUCUGGUAAUCUUGCACAGGACAAAGUAACUCUGUCUUACUUGCUGAGGUGCCACUGCUUUAGAAUCAGUGUGCAUUUCUGAGUGUGAACCCUUGUGCUCUGCAGAGUUGAUGAGCUCUUGGGAGCUUGAGUUUCUCCUGCUGACUGUUUAAGAGAAAAUUAAAUUAUUUAGGAUUAGGUAGAAUAAUUGGGUGCUGCAGGACCUUACAGCUAUGCCUGUUGUGUGCUGAGAGAUCAUCCUCUCUUCUGGCUUCAUCAGUUCCUUGACCCAACUGUGUUGCUGCCACAAGAAUGCCAGCUUGUACCAAAAACACAGGAGUGGAGUUUUGUCGUGGUUGUUUGCCAGGAGUGAGGCUGGAAUAGUUACCACUAUGGUAUAGAAGGAAACGGGGCUGGAAAGGACCUGAAGAGUCACCUCAUCCACCCCCACACAAACCACUCCUGACCUGUUUGUCCCAAGUGUUUUUUUAACCUGUCAGCCGUGGAGAUCCCCCAGCCUGCCCAGGCAAUCCCCUCCAGUGCCCAGUGACCCUGCAGCAGGGAAGUUAUUCUAGCUCUGAACUCAGGUCUCACUUGAUGCUUUUAAACACAUUACUUUUUUUGUGCUUUCCCUGUGGAUGUGGAUAACAAUUUAUUGCCUUCCUCUUUGCAUAAGCCAUUUAUAUAAUUGAAGACUCUUAUCAUGUCUCCUCUCUGUCUUCCCUGCUGUAGACUAAAUAGCCCAGAUAGGAUGAAAGCUGGAAUGGGGUGUCAGGGACAAGGAGUUAGAGGAGGAAAUCAGAGAGGGAUUAAUUCUGCUUUCAGUCCAUGUAGAAACAGACUUUUCCUUCUGAAGGAUGGGGAUGUGGGAGAGGAAAACAGGAUGCUCAGUGUGUAUCUGAUUGAUGGGCCACUGCCUCACAGGCUAAGGAAGAGGGGCUGGGAUGACCCUACUAUCCAGCCUCUGUGCUUGGAAAUGAAGGCUUUAAUUUCUUACAUUGGUGAGCAGCAUAUCCAGCUCACACAUCAGCUCCUGUGAGAUGUAUCUGGUUAACUUUCCGUGCAUCACACAAGCUGUUUCAGGUGCUGUGUGUGCUACACCAUCAGACAGCACGAUGAUGUAGCACCAGCACCAUCCAGGCUGCCCACAAGAGCCCUGCCAGGGAGCAGGAGUCCUCUCCAGGAUGGCAGAACUGUUCCUGCUGCCCUGACCCUGGCUCUGCUGUCACCCAGCAUGGGGAGCCACCACCACACACACUGCCCACAUGUGUUUCAGUUCCCUACAUGUUUACAGCCCGGUUGCUGUAAAACCAGCACGUGGAACAGGCCAGUGCUGUCUGCUCCAGAAGUCCCUGGGGUGUGUUAUGUCAGUGUCACAUCCAUGAAGGAAGCACAGUGAGAGCUCACAGUGACUUCUGUGCUCAGACCCUUCCCAUUCUUCACAGCUGCUGCCAGAGCUGCAGCAGGUAUGCAGCCAUCACAGCCUGAAACAAAAACACCUCCCAGCCUGGACACUUCCAAAAGUGCAAGGUGAUGGAAAAAAAAAUGUUUCUUUGCUGCUUAAAGCUCCUAAACAGCUUUUGGUGACAGUUCUGCCUUGCUCUGAGCACUCCAGGAACAGCACAUAAGGUGGAGCUGUUUUCCCUAGACUCCUGGUGACAUGGGAUCACAGGGUUAUUUACAUCAGAAAAGGGCUGGCCUUGAAGAAAGCAAAAAUAUUAAAUGCUGUUUGGGACAGCAGGAAAGUUCAUUGCAUUUCAAGAGCACUGCAGACUAACUCCAGCACUCCCAGUCUCUCUUCCUCCCCCACUGGCUCAUCCAUCAGCUGUUAAGACUUUCCAGUUCAAUUUCACAGUUAAAAUAAUCUUGACAAAUUGCAAUCCAAUUGUUUGGUUGGUUUUCUUUCUCUUUUUUGUUUUUGCUCUCCCUAUCCCCCGCCCUUCCUUCUCAGAGUGACUUUGAAGAUGACAUUUGUAUUUCUGAAUUAAAACCACAUUUGCCCAAUCUGCAGAGGGAGGAGGCAGGGGCAGAAGAGAGAAGAAAAGCUUUUGUUCUCCUCCUUGCAGUGACCCCUCACCUGCCAGGGCCAAGCUCCAAAAUAAUUUCUAACAGCUGAGGUUAGUCAGGGACACCUAAUCCCGGAAAGCUGGCUCUGAAUUCCAGCACCAGCACACAGUGUUUGAGUUUCAUCAACAGCCAUUCACAUCUAAUUCUCCCAAACCUCUGAAGUGUGAGUAUAUGUACAGGUGUGUGCUUAUUUAAUCAAAAAUUACUUUAUUUUUCAUAAAUCUGAGCCCAAAUGGCAUCAACAGCAGUGACAACAUUAUGUUUUUUAAAGCUAAGCAAGCUCAGGAGCUGUUUGAGGGUACCCUAAACAGCCAAGUUUACAGGAUGCCCAAGAAUUGUGAUUCUCUACCAAAGGGAGGGCUGAGCCUCACUCCCUGAUUUCCUGGAAUGGAAAAGGAUAGCUCUGUGCCAAUGGAACUGGAAGAUUGCUGCUGGGUGUGCUGAGACCUGUCCUGAGUGUUUGCAGAAGGGGUGUAAGGAGCAUCCUGGCAGCACAACACAGAGAAACCCCCAGGGCUCAGCUGAGGGGAGGAUGUGACAGCAACGGGCUCACCCUGGAAGAAAUGCACCUUCCCAGGCAUGAACAGGGACCAGAGCAGAGGUGUUGGUGCACCUGUCAAGAUCCCACUCUGGAACAGAAGAUCAGAGCAAACGGGGGCUGAGGAGAACAAAAGCUGACCCAAACCUUUGACCUAAAUUUAACAUGAAGCCAAAUGAAACCUUAGAGCUCUCCUAGGCAUGCUGAAAAGCUCCUUGCUCCUCUGCUCUGGGGCAGAAGAUGCUGCAUUAGGAUUUGUGCAAGGCUUUGACACAAGCAUUUCCCAUUCUGUGAGCUGAGAGGGACUCAGAUGGGACUGCUCCCCAGUGAUGGGGAUGGGCUGCAUGAUGGGGAACAGAAGUUCUGUGUCCAUGCAACUCGUACAACAUCAAAUCUCAAGCUGCAGGAAUACUUUUGUUGCUUUUGGAUGACCCACUAAUGAGAAGCACAGAAAACCCAUGAGGAUAUGAAUGAUUUUCUCUUACGUGCUCAAGCAACAGGCAGCAAGUGAGGCUUGGUGCAAUGCAGUAAACUGCAAGUUGAAAACCAAAAGUAAAAUCAUUUAAAUGUAUCCUCCAUGCUGUGCAAAAGAAGGACAGAAAACUCCUAGGAAAAUCUCUGGAAAUUCAGCUGCACUUGCACAACUCCAGUUAGUGUGAAGACAGUGUUCAUGAACAUUCUGGAUUCAUAAACAGGAGAAGGAAAAUACAUGUGAGCAAAGUGGCACUUUGACACUCUUCAAAAUUUCAAGUGUCUUUUCAGGAAUCCCAGUCAGAAAGCCUCAUUUUGUGAAGAUGAGAAGAGGGGGGGGGUUUCAUCCCAAAUCCUGUUCCCCCAUGAGGCAAUUGCUCAGGUUCCCUUCUGUUCUGGAAGAAGUACCAAGAAGAUGAUCUCAUGGAUAUCACAGCUUUUCAGCUUUCUCCAGAAUAUGGUAAACUGGAUAACAGGCAGACAGACUGUGCCUGCAGGGCACGAGGAGAUGCCUGGAAGGAAGGAUGUGCCUCUGACUGCCCAAAGCCCAGCUUUUCUCCAUGUGCAGCACAUCCAUUCUGUGUGCACUGAAUUGAUGCUGCACAUCCAGCCUGGCCUGAGCCCCCUGGUCCCCACUGCUGGCUGGGUUGUGAGUGUGGUUCUGCUGAAACAGACUGGGGGGCCCUGAGUGCCAGGCCAGUGGUGCUGCUCCUGGGCCAACAUCAGCCUCACCGAGCCAGGAGAACCUGGACUGGCCAAAAAACCACCUGGACUGGCCAAAAACCACCUGGACUGGCCAAAAAACCACCUGGACCGGCCAAAAAAACACCUGGAUCGGCCAAAAAAACACCUGGACCGGCCAAAAAACCACCUGGACUGGCCAAAAACCACCUGGACUGGCCAAAAAAGGACCUGGUUUGAGCAUUUCCAGGGAGGAUUCUGUGUUCCUGCCUGCCUGCUGGCCAGUGUAACCUGAAGGUUGAUUAAUCCAGCCAGCAUUUUGACUUGAAUGGCUUUUUGUCUAAAGUUUGUCAAUUUUUUUGAGAAUACAUGGGCGAAAUUUCCUUUUUCCAUUUGAAAGAAAAGAAAAAUGUGCACAUUGAAAGAUGCAGAAGGCAUUCAAGGAAUGCACAGAUCAUCAUUUCAGGCAUUCUGGGCAGCGGGAUUGAGUGAAAUCAUUUAUAGCAUCUGUUUUGAUAUUAGAGUGGUUUUAAACUGCAGAGUUGCACUAAACUAUUUUGAGUAAAUAAAUCUUUCCUAGGUAACUUUUCA